This 323-nucleotide small nuclear RNA is filed under the name Chinchilla lanigera (long-tailed chinchilla). RNAcentral describes it as "7SK RNA (ENSCLAG00000022050.1)". It matches the Rfam family "7SK RNA". Rfam says of the family: 7SK was discovered as an abundant small nuclear RNA in the mid-70s but a possible function has only recently been suggested. Two independent studies have found that 7SK RNA binds the CDK9/cyclin T complex (known as elongation factor P-TEFb). The record is from RNAcentral. Lineage: Eukaryota; Metazoa; Chordata; Mammalia; Rodentia; Chinchillidae.
GGACAUGAGGGUGAUCUGGCUGCAACAUGUCACCCCAUUGACUGCCAGCACUGAUUUGUCUGAUCAGGCUGGCUAGGCAAACUUCUUCGCUCACUGCUCCAUGUGUGUCCUUCCCAAAGCUGUGCACCGGGUCGAGAGCACAACCACCGACCAAGGAGGGCUGUUCCCUUGGUCAAGGGUGUCAGGGUACUUUUGCUCCUCUGCUAGAACCUCCAAACAAGCUCCCAAAAUUGCCCCGAAGGUCCUCAAAUUUGGAAUUUUUUUACUUCCGCCUGUUGAGAAGCUGGGAUUAUAGGUGUUUGCCACAAUGCCUGCCAAAACAU